GUGCUUUAUGUAAAUCAGCCCAGGAGACUUCCUGUGCUUAAGAAUAAGAAUCCAGGGGUGCAGAAUGGCCUGGCCAAGUCCAAGCUGUUCUGGAGGAAAGAAGGACAGAAGACUCAUGGGAAAAGAAGGAAAGGAGAUGAACUCCGUCUUGCAUUUCCUCUUCUUACUGUGCUGCUUCUCAGCCUCUUCCAGUAUUCAGCUGACUGAGUCUGGCCCAGGUGUGGUGAACCCUGGAGGGACAUUCAAGCUCACCUGUGUGGUUUCUGGAGUUGAAGUUGGUGGUUGGUUCUGGGGCUGGAACCGGCAGCUUCCAGGGAAAGCGCUGCAAUGGAUGGGAAGCAUUGAGAACUCUGUAAAUGGUGGGAAACCCUUCUACAAUGCUGUGUUUAGCAAUCGGAUCAGCAUCACCAGGGACACUUCCAGGAAUGAAUUCUACCUUGAGUUGCGAUCUGUGACGGCUGCAGAUACCGCAACGUAUUUCUGUACUCGAGUUCGGCAGCGCACAGUAAUGCAAGGCUCUGGGGCAUCCCGACACAAACCACAGGAGGGCUCAGCCACCUGCACAGCUUCUCAUGUGUAA
Non-coding RNA from Varanus komodoensis (Komodo dragon), 580 nucleotides. The record is from the annotation of a RefSeq genome assembly. Lineage: Eukaryota; Metazoa; Chordata; Lepidosauria; Squamata; Varanidae.